UUACCAACAGGGUAAGGGAUAUACCAUGAUCACAAAGGUGGAUUUCCCAAGGCAAGGCUUAUCCAUCUCACUCUGGAUGUGCUGACCCCUCCCAUUUUUCCAAAUGAGGGAAACCCAGCAGCAUAAUAUGUGGUAGUGGGGAACUGUGUUUGUGCUCUCCCAU
Molecule: small nuclear RNA, 163 nt
Organism: Prolemur simus (greater bamboo lemur)
Lineage: Eukaryota; Metazoa; Chordata; Mammalia; Primates; Lemuridae
Gene: U1
Rfam family: U1 spliceosomal RNA
About the family: U1 is a small nuclear RNA (snRNA) component of the spliceosome (involved in pre-mRNA splicing). Its 5' end forms complementary base pairs with the 5' splice junction, thus defining the 5' donor site of an intron. There are significant differences in sequence and secondary structure between metazoan and yeast U1 snRNAs, the latter being much longer (568 nucleotides as compared to 164 nucleotides in human).
Source: Ensembl